This 1395-nucleotide ribosomal RNA is filed under the name Desulfarculus baarsii. RNAcentral's name for it is "16S ribosomal RNA". It matches the Rfam family "Bacterial small subunit ribosomal RNA", at positions 1 to 1373 of the family's 1533-position model. Lineage: Bacteria; Pseudomonadati; Thermodesulfobacteriota; Desulfarculia; Desulfarculales; Desulfarculaceae. The record is from RNAcentral.
AACUGGAGAGUUUGRUCCUGGCUCNGAACGAACGCUGGCGGCAGGCCUAACRCAUGCRAGUCGCACGAGAACGAUYCUUCGGGGAGACUAGUAAAGUGGCGCNCGGGUGAGUAACGCGUGGGNAAUCURCCUGAUGGUACGGNAUAACGUCUCGAAAGGGGCGCUAAUACCGUAUAAGACCACGACAACUGCGGUUGUUGCGGNNAAAGGGGGCCNCUCUAUAGAAGCUCCUGCNNUUGGACGAGCCNGCGUCCCAUUAGCUUGUUGGUGAGGUNACGGCUCACYAAGGCCGCGAUGGGUAGCUGGUCUGAGAGGAUGAUCAGCCACACUGGGACUGGAACACGGCCNAGACUCCUACGGGAGGCAGCAGUGAGGAAUCUUGCGCAAUGGGGGAAACCCUGACGCAGCCAUGCCGCGUGAGUGAAGAAGGCCUUCGGGUCGUAAAGCUCUGUCAGGUGGGAAGAACCCUCAAGGGACGAAUANUCCUUUGAGCUGACGGUACCGCCAAAGGAAGCACCGGCUAACUCCGUGCCAGCAGCCGCGGUAAUACGGAGGGUGCRAGCGUUGUUCGGAAUUACUGGGCGUAAAGCGUGUGCAGGCGGCCRAAURAGUCGGAUGUGAAAGCCCUCGGCUCAACCGAGGAACUGCAUUCGAUACUGCUUGGCUUGAGUCCUGUAGAGGAGAGUGGAAUUCCCGGUGUAGAGGUGAAAUUCGUAGAUAUCGGGAGGAACAUCGGUGGCGAAGGCGACUCUCUGGACAGUGACUGACGCUGAUACRCGAAAGCGUGGGGAGCRAACAGGAUUAGAUACCCUGGUAGUCCACGCUGURAACGGUGUCCACUAGGUGUAGCGGGUAUUGAGCCCCCGCUNUGCCGUAGCUAACGCGUUAAGCGGACCGCCUGGGGAGUACGGCCGCAAGGUYAAAACUCAAAGGAAUUGACGGGGGCCCGCACAAGCGGUGGAGCAUGUGGUUUAAUUCGAANNAACGCGAAGAACCUUACCUGGGUUUGACAUCCCCGGACAGCCURUGAAAGUAGGNNUUUCUUCGGAACCGGGNGACAGGUGCUGCAUGGCUGUCGUCAGCUCGUGUCGUGAGAUGUUGGGUUAAGUCCCGCAACGAGCGCAACCCYYAUCGUUAGUUGCCAGUAUUUAGUUAGGCACUCUAGUGAUACUGCCCCGGUUNACGGGGAGGAAGGUGGGGAUGACGUCAAGUCAUNAUGGCCCUUAUGCCCAGGGCUACACACGUGCUACNAUGGUCGGUACAAAGGGCUGCUAAAUCGCGAGGUUAUGCCAAUCCCAAAAAGCCGGCCUCNGUUCGGAUUGGAGUCUGCAACUCGACUCCAUGAAGUUGGAAUCGCUAGUAAUCCCGGAUCAGCAUGCCGGGGUNAAUACGUUC